GCCCUUGUAGCUCAGUUGGCUAGAGCACGCGUCUUGUAAACGCGAGGUCGUCGGUUCGAUUCCGACCGGGGGCUCCA
This 77-nucleotide transfer RNA is filed under the name Actinoplanes italicus. Its description in RNAcentral is "tRNA-Thr". It matches the Rfam family "tRNA". Rfam says of the family: Transfer RNA (tRNA) molecules are approximately 80 nucleotides in length. Their secondary structure includes four short double-helical elements and three loops (D, anti-codon, and T loops). Lineage: Bacteria; Bacillati; Actinomycetota; Actinomycetes; Micromonosporales; Micromonosporaceae. The record is from RNAcentral.